Molecule: long non-coding RNA, 478 nt
Organism: Brienomyrus brachyistius
Lineage: Eukaryota; Metazoa; Chordata; Actinopteri; Osteoglossiformes; Mormyridae
Exons: 3
Source: RefSeq, a predicted model, not a curated record
CGGAGGCGGCGGAGGUGCAGCUGUUUAAACUCCAGCUUUAAAAACACCAUAGUUUCCCCAUUUCCCCUCUUGUGCCCGUCUCUGGUCCACCAAGAGCCGUGGGAUCACCGAGGCACUCCGCUUUUCAGCCUGUAUUAUCACAGAAAGUCUAAUCAGUUCUCGCUGGUUCAGCGGCGGCUCAGACCCCUCAAAGGCGCAUAGGUGGGCUGAAAACCCAGAACCACCGGUAUCAGGCCCAGGAGAAAGAGCAAACUUCAUGGAAAUCGGAAAGGAGGCAAAAGCAGCUGUCAUUGGAUAGGUUCCUUGUUAAAGUCACACAAAAAGAAAAAGAUUCCAGUGAGCCGACAGUGUCGUCCUACAAAAUAACCCUCCUGUUCUCCUCUCUCUCGUCUCCCUCACAUCAUCCACGAUUCUUUUCAAAGGUAAAGUGCAGGUUAAUUUGUUUUAUAUAUUUUUACUUUAUAUUUUGUAUUAAUCA